UUGUGAGCCCCUCAUUGGGCGCACCUGGACAUCGCCGGGGAGGAUGACCAAUAAGGACGAGGUUCCCUACCUGAAGAAAGGAAUGUCUGGGCGACCGACACGAACACUGGUAGAGUUCGCUGCUGGACUGGCCAACCAAGCCUGAAGACACACACACCA
Molecule: long non-coding RNA, 159 nt
Organism: Salvelinus sp. IW2-2015
Lineage: Eukaryota; Metazoa; Chordata; Actinopteri; Salmoniformes; Salmonidae
Source: RefSeq, a predicted model, not a curated record